This 545-nucleotide ribosomal RNA is filed under the name uncultured bacterium. RNAcentral's name for it is "bacterial SSU rRNA". It matches the Rfam family "Bacterial small subunit ribosomal RNA", at positions 777 to 1334 of the family's 1533-position model. The record is from RNAcentral.
AAUAGAUACCCUGGUAGUCCACGCCGUAAACGGUGGGUACUAGGUGUGGGUUUCCUUCCUUGGGAUCCGUGCCGUAGCUAACGCAUUAAGUACCCCGCCUGGGGAGUACGGCCGCAAGGCUAAAACUCAAAGGAAUUGACGGGGGGCCCGCACAAGCGGCGGAGCGUGCGGUUUAAUUCGACGCAACGCGCAGAACCUUACCAGGACUUGACAUGCACCUGCAGAGCCGUGAAAGCGGUUGGCCUUCGAGGUGGUGCACAGGUGCUGCAUGGCUGUCGUCAGCUCGUGUCGUGAGAUGUUGGGUUAAGUCCCGCAACGAGCGCAACCCUCGUGGCUAGUUGUCGAUGUUUCUAGCCAGACUGCCGGUAGCAAGCCGGAGGAAGGUGGGGAUGACGCCAAGUCAGCAUGGCCCUUACGUCCUGGGCUACACGCACGCUACAAUGGCCGGGACAAUGGGAAGCAAACUCGCGAGAGCCAGCAAAUCCCAAAAAACCGGUCCCCGAGUUCGGAUUGCAGGCUGCAACCCGCCUGCAUGAAGCGGAACG